AGUGAACGCUGGCGGUAGGCCUAACACAUGCAAGUCGAACGGCAGCACAGUAAGAGCUUGCUCUUACGGGUGGCGAGUGGCGGACGGGUGAGGAAUACAUCGGAAUCUACUUUUUCGUGGGGGAUAACGUAGGGAAACUUACGCUAAUACCGCAUACGACCUACGGGUGAAAGCAGGGGAUCUUCGGACCUUGCGCGAUUGAAUGAGCCGAUGUCGGAUUAGCUAGUUGGCGGGGUAAAGGCCCACCAAGGCGACGAUCCGUAGCUGGUCUGAGAGGAUGAUCGGCCACACUGGAACUGAGACACGGUCCAGACUCCUACGGGAGGCAGCAGUGGGGAAUAUUGGGCAAUGGGCGCAAGCCUGAUCCAGCCAUACCGCGUGAGUGAAGAAGGCCUUCGGGUUGUAAAGCCCUUUUGUUGGGAAAGAAAAGCAGCAGGUUAAUACCCCGCUGUUCUGACGGUACCCAAAGAAUAAGCACCGGCUAACUUCGUG
This 492-nucleotide ribosomal RNA is filed under the name uncultured bacterium. Its description in RNAcentral is "partial 16S ribosomal RNA". It matches the Rfam family "Bacterial small subunit ribosomal RNA", at positions 29 to 507 of the family's 1533-position model. The record is from RNAcentral.